AGAACGAACGCUGGCGGCAGGCUUAACACAUGCAAGUCGAACGGAUAUAGCAAUAUAUUAGUGGCGCACGGGUGAGUAAUACUUGGGAACGUGCCUUAGAGUCUGGGAUAACAGCGGGAAACUGCUGCUAAUACCGGAUAUUCCCUCCGGGGGAAAGAUUUAUCGCUCUAAGAUCGGCCCAAGCCAGAUUAGGUAGUUGGUGGGGUAAAAGCCUACCAAGCCUACGAUCUGUAGCUGGUCUGAGAGGACGACCAGCCACACUGGAACUGAGACACGGUCCAGACUCCUACGGGAGGCAGCAGUGGGGAAUAUUGGACAAUGGGGGAAACCCUGAUCCAGCCAUGCCGCGUGAGUGAUGAAGGCCUUAGGGUUGUAAAGCUCUUUGUCAGGGAAGAUGAUGACGGUACUGAAGAAUAAGCACGGCUAACUUCGUGCCAGCAGCCGC
RNAcentral lists this ribosomal RNA (445 nucleotides) under uncultured bacterium. RNAcentral describes it as "SSU rRNA". It matches the Rfam family "Bacterial small subunit ribosomal RNA", at positions 26 to 518 of the family's 1533-position model. The record is from RNAcentral.